CUGGAUUUGCAUUCUGGCGGCACAUUUUAGUUGACGCCUAAUCUUAAAUUUAGGAAUGACGUUUCUAAAUUACUCAAUUUAGGUUUAGGCGACAAAAAGCUAUUCUAGCAAACAUUUCAUUUGACGUUAAACUCUUAUUCUAAAUUAAUUUUAUACGGUUUUCUAAACUUGCCGGAUAAAAUUAAACUUCUUAAAAUUAAGUACAUGAAUCAGUUUUUCGGCGCUUUUUGUGAAUUCCGGCCACUGAUUUCACCUGCAGAUCAUUAGGAAGACCUUGCCGCUCUCAAAAUAGCUUAAAUAGCGAUAAAGAACCUUCUAAAUAUACGAAUAGAAGGAUCAACGAGAAAUAUUUGUUUUACGUCGUUUACCGCCCAAGACCAGUAAAAGAAAGAAGACUGCGAGGAGGCCCCAUCGAAACAAAAGACUCUUAGCUGGUAUGAUGAUGUCUCUGGCAUGAGUAUCAUCUUCAAAGUUAAUCCAAACAUUUAUCUAAGAGGACAAUCUAAUUGUGUCAAUCUUAAACACUACUUUCAACUGGACCGUGUGGUGGAUGCUUGAAACAAUGCAGUGCCAGUGAUAUUAACGAUUAACGUGUAACAUCAACACAUACCUAGCUCUGUGUGUGUCAAAACUGUAAUGACUCCUACCAGGCGCGCAGUGCAGGCUGCACUGCCUGCUUCUUCUUAUCCUUUUGACCUGAAGGACUUAAAAUUACUACAAAAGUAAUUAAUGUACCUAUCUAUGGAAUGGAACUACAGAAGUACACUGAAGGAAGGCCUCCAAAGCAAGGUGAUAAAUCUUUGACUUUGACAUUUGCAAGUAGUCCUAAUAGCCACUGCAUCCUGAAUUGUAAUUAUGAGCCACCAAUAACAAAAAAGACUCUAGGCACUUGCAACAGUGUCGAAA
Molecule: long non-coding RNA, 906 nt
Organism: Pectinophora gossypiella (pink bollworm)
Lineage: Eukaryota; Metazoa; Arthropoda; Insecta; Lepidoptera; Gelechiidae
Exons: 3
Source: RefSeq, a predicted model, not a curated record